UGUGGUUUUACUCUCCUUGAUGCUGGACCUAUACCCAACCUCUUCCGUCUUUUGUGUAUCAAUGUUUUUAUCUGUAAAAUGUCCAUUUAUGUAUCUAAUUAUCUAUAUCUAUUUAUCGUUAAUACAGUACAGUAAUUAUCUCUAAUAUACACAAAAAUCUACCUUGGUUGUGACGGCGAAGGUGGUUGAAGCUUGCAUCUGAUUGGUUAUUUUUUCAGUUCGUAUUAUACGCUGGGUGAACUGGGAGUGCCUGGGUAUCGAACUACCUACCCAUGGAACAGGAGGUGAGGACUGUAUCCACUUGAUUUGCUACACUCCAAAUUACAAAAGUGAGGAGGAGUGUUCCACGUAUAACUUUUGACAGCUGGGCCAGAGCACGGUGGAUGGUCUGGACGAUACUGAUGACAGAGUAGUGCUCCAGGUGUAAGAAUGCUCUGACUGGGGGUUCUGAUGAUGCACCAGAUAGAUAUAUGUACAGUAAACCCUUGAAAGUCUGGAAAAGGGGGAAAUGGGGUCUGGACUUUAACCAAGUGGAGUUUCUGGGAGCCACUGUUAAAGGACAAACCAAAUCAGAAGGUAAUCUCAUCCCCUCCCUCCUUAAAGAAUGUCUGCACCAGCUUUCAAGUCAGCCAAGGAGAACUCAUAGAACUUGGACCAGCCUUGUGGGAUGUAGGUCCUACGCUCCUGAACAACAGCAUGGAACCAAGCCAAGACAAAGAGGGCUUGAGCACGGUUAACAUUAUUCCCACGGGCAAUGAUCUCUGGAGACCAUGAAUCGUAUGUCCGAUGAAGAUUUUUCUUGAUUCCUGCUGGUGCCUGGGAGAAAACAUAGAGGCUAUGGGAAAUUCAGACUCUUACCAUGUUAUAAUUUAUUGAGUUAAAGUUUUAGAGCAAUUUAAUCAAGACUAUCUUAAUUUUACUGUACAGAUUAUAUAUGAGAACAGUAUAUGAAGUGGAAAUCUAUCAAGGGUCUGUCUUGAGCCCCCUUCUGUUCAUCAUAGUACUAGAGGCAGUAUCACAAGAUUUUAGGACUAGUCUCCCCUGGGAGUUGUUGUAUGCUGAUAACUUAGUGCUGAUAGCAUAUAGUAUUGAAGAGAUAGUAUAGAAAUUUAUGAAAUGGAAGGAUGGGAUGGAAUCAACAAGUAUAAGAAUAAAUAUGGCAAAAACAAGAAUGAUGAUUACUGGCAUGAGUGAAGGACCUGAAAAGGAAAGUGGCCAUGUGCUGUCUGUAAGAAUGGUGUUGACAAACUUAAUAAUAUGUAGUUUGUAAAGUUGGUACACAAGAGGUGCAGUGGUGUAAGUAGCAGACAGCAGGAUGGUGGUGACGUAAGUAACUGAUAUGCAGGUAAUCACUUAGUCUUGGCAAGGCUGGAAAAGCUCAACAUCAGUGACAUUUAUCUGAAUUGUGUUGAGUUCUGCUACCUGGAUAGCGUGAUCAGUGCCAAAGCUAGCUCAGUUACUGGAGUCAGAAGUGGCUGAAAAAGGUUAAGGGAACUAUUGCUUUUGUUGAAAGUUGUACAUAGACAACUUAAGAAGUGUGAUGUAGUGAAACAUGAACAGUUAAAGAGGAUAAUAUUUGUAAGCUUGAGUGAAUUUGAAUGAAAAUGGUGAGAGGAUGUUUAACCUGACACAGAGAUAGGAAUCCCACUUCAGGGUGAAGAGGGCAGCUGGGUAUUGAGAAUACCGAGGAGAUUUUGCCUAGAUGUAGACCGAGAUGGUUUGAGCAUGAGAAGAGAAUGGAGGAGACCAAUUAAUUGGUCAAGAGAUGCAUGGGUUUAAAUGUGGAAGGGAGGAGAACUAGGAAUAGGUCAAGAAUGACAUGGGGGGGGGGGAGAGAUUGUGAGAAAUGACUAUCAGGUAAUCACAGCUAACCCAUGCAAGCGCUGAAAAUGGCUGUACAUGUACUGUAAAAUGACGACGGUGAUGAUGGAAUUAUCAACAAUGUCAAUGUUUACCACUGAACAAGCAAUGCACAAUUUGCAUCUACUGACAUUGAUUCAAAUCUUUUAUCUCUUUUCCAAAUUAAAAGAAAGUCACUUCACACAAUCUUUAAGACUUGUUUGUUUACCACUUGUUCAUUGACUUGAAGUUACUCUUUAUAUUCAGUGUCACCAAUUCAAUGUCUUCGAUGCUAAAACAGCAUUUUUCCAUUAAUUGAAUCAACUGUUACAAUAAAAAAAAAGUUUCAAGGGUUCUAACAAUGGCAUAUUAACAUCAAAAGCUAU
This 2225-nucleotide long non-coding RNA is filed under the name Homarus americanus (American lobster). RNAcentral describes it as "uncharacterized LOC121865772, transcript variant X4". The record is from RNAcentral. Lineage: Eukaryota; Metazoa; Arthropoda; Malacostraca; Decapoda; Nephropidae.